AACGAACGCUGGCGGCAUGCCUAACACAUGCAAGUCGAACGAAGUCUUCGGACUUAGUGGCGCACGGGUGCGUAACGCGUGGGAAUCUGCCCUUGGGUACGGAAUAACUCAGAGAAAUUUGUGCUAAUACCGUAUAAUGUCUUCGGACCAAAGAUUUAUCGCCCAAGGAUGAGCCCGCGUAAGAUUAGCUAGUUGGUGGGGUAAAAGCCUACCAAGGCGACGAUCUUUAGCUGGUCUGAGAGGAUGAUCAGCCACACUGGGACUGAGACACGGCCCAGACUCCUACGGGAGGCAGAAGUGGGGAAUAUUGGACAAGGGGCGAAAGCCUGAUCCAGCAAUGCCGCGUGAGUGAUGAAGGCCCUAGGGUUGUAAAGCUCUUUUACCAGGGAUGAUAAUGACAGUACCUGGAGAAUAAGCUCCGGCUAACUCCGUG
This 433-nucleotide ribosomal RNA is filed under the name uncultured bacterium. Its description in RNAcentral is "partial 16S ribosomal RNA". It matches the Rfam family "Bacterial small subunit ribosomal RNA", at positions 29 to 507 of the family's 1533-position model. The record is from RNAcentral.